CCUACGGGAGGCUGCAGUGAGGAAUAUUGGUCAAUGGGAGAGAUCCUGAACCAGCCAAGCCGCGUGAGGGAUGACGGCCCUAUGGGUUGUAAACCUCUUUUGUCGGAGAACAAAACCCGGGACGUGUCCUGGACUGCGUGUAUCCGAAGAAAAAGCAUCGGCUAACUCCGUGCCAGCAGCCGCGGUAAUACGGAGGAUGCGAGCGUUAUCCGGAUUUAUUGGGUUUAAAGGGUGCGUAGGCGGGCCCUUAAGUCAGCGGUGAAAGUUGCGGGCUCAACCCCAGAAGAGCCGUUGAAACUGGGAGACGUGAGUAGGCGAGAGGCAGGCGGAAUGCGCGGUGUAGCGGUGAAAUGCAUAGAUAUCGCGCAGAACUCCGAUUGCGAAGGCAGCGUACCGGGGCCAGACUGACGCUGAGGCACGAAAGCGUGGGGAUCGAACAGGAUUAGAUACCCCUGUAGUC
RNAcentral lists this ribosomal RNA (460 nucleotides) under uncultured bacterium. RNAcentral's name for it is "partial 16S ribosomal RNA". It matches the Rfam family "Bacterial small subunit ribosomal RNA", at positions 338 to 795 of the family's 1533-position model. The record is from RNAcentral.